GAUCCAACUUGAAUGCUUCCUGAUUAAAUAUAUACAGGAGUGAUUUCAGAGGAAUUUAAGUUUUGGAUCAUCCUUUUGAGAAAGAAAAAAAAGUACCCUUUUAAAAGAGCGUACUUUCAACAUAAAGACGACGAGGAUAAAGGCAUUUAUGAUGAACUACUUCCACAUAAUGAAUAAUUGAACAAAGGAGAGAAUUGUGAGAGUGAGAAAAAGUAAGUGAGACAAAGAAGAAAAACUAUAAAUCAGCAAAAUCCAGUGCCAAGAGCUCUGGACCACAAAUCAGAAGACCUGAGCCCUAAUUCCUUUCCAGUCAUUGGAUUUGUUCAUCGCUUGCCAAAACAGCAGCGAACUCUGUCAAACUGCAGCUCAUUUUAUCGGAGCAAAAACUGAACAAAGAACUGCUAUCAUGUCUGAGGUCAGAGGCAGUGCAGCUUGUGUUACAACUCAAAGAGUAAUACUUUGAAAAAAGAAAAAAAAGAUGGCGCUGAAAAUAAACAUGUUCAGCAGCCAUUGUGAUUCAACUUACCCAGAUGUGCUUUUCAUGAGAUGGAGAAGGACGGAUGGAAAAGAAAAGCACACAAAUGUUAAUGGAUACAGUUCAAUCCAAAGAAAACCAUGGAAUAAAACAAGAGCAUUAUUUAAGAUGUGAGAAAGCUCAGGUAUGAGAAAGACAUGGUGCCAUUUUGUAUUUCAUCAUGACACACAUACUCACUGCGUCGAAAAGCAUAGUCAGGCUGAGGGUAGUUCUAAUAGUUGACCAAUAAGUCUAUGUCUUGAGUAUGAGCCACU
This 789-nucleotide long non-coding RNA is filed under the name Pongo abelii (Sumatran orangutan). RNAcentral describes it as "lincRNA". The record is from RNAcentral. Lineage: Eukaryota; Metazoa; Chordata; Mammalia; Primates; Hominidae.